This is a long non-coding RNA of Hirundo rustica (Barn swallow), 735 nucleotides long. RefSeq lists it as uncharacterized. The record is from RefSeq and is a predicted model, not a curated record. NCBI's taxonomy places the organism in Eukaryota, Metazoa, Chordata, Aves, Passeriformes, Hirundinidae. The transcript is spliced from 2 exons.
AGCAGCCUCCUGAGGGGGUUUGUCCUCCUUCCCGCAGGACUCGGGGUCUCCCGGCACCCCAGUCUCCCACCAGGGAAGUCCCUGCUGAGUUGUGUUCCUGCUGCAUGAGAUCCCCUCUGCUCGUGGCUUCUGCUGUUUCACCAGGGCAAAUCCUCCCCUCCUCCAGCUGGUUGUGUUGGCAGGGAAAUCCCUGAUGGCUCCAAGCUCUGCUCUCCAGAAAGUGGCUGGAGGGAACAUCUGACAUGGUCCUCCAUCUGUGGGAACGUGACAGGAGAACCUCCUUCCUCUCUGCUUCCCGGGGUUAUCCAUCCCUGAGAUUGGAGGUGUCACCCAGCUGGGUCAGAGCUGUCCCCUGAGCUGGGUUUUUGCUGCUGUUGGGAUCAGUGACCUGUGGAAUUGCAGCUGGAGGAAUUCGAGCAGGAACCUCCAAACACCUGAGGUGGUUUCAUGUGUGGUGCCCUGAUGGGAACUGAGCUCAGCAUUGCUUUUCCCUUCAAAAAACCAAAACCUCGAUAGCCUUGAAUUCCUGCCUGGGGAACCUCUCACAGAAAUGUGCAUGUGAGCUGGGAUCAAGCAAGAUGAAGGGGGUUCCGUGGUCACUUUUGGAGUUAACCAAUGAGGUUGGAGCUUUUUAGCCUGAAAUCAGACAAGCUGAGAUGAGAUUUCCAGAAGGCUUUUGAUAGCAGCUUAAUGGUCGUAAACUUUGGUUUAUUAAAUGUAAAAGAAUUUUUUUAA